RNAcentral lists this ribosomal RNA (411 nucleotides) under Micropsectra sp. To350. Its description in RNAcentral is "partial 16S ribosomal RNA". The record is from RNAcentral. Lineage: Eukaryota; Metazoa; Arthropoda; Insecta; Diptera; Chironomidae.
UAGCAUAAUCAUUAGUUUUUUAAUUGAGAACUGGGAUGAAAGGUUAUAUAAAAAAUAAUCUUUAUUAAUUUUAAAUUAUUUGAAUUUGUUUUUUUAGUAAAAAAACUAAAAUGUAUUAAAAAGACGAUAAGACCCUAUAAAGCUUUAUAAUAGAAAUUUUAAUAAUAAAUUAGAAUAUUAAAUAAAUUUUUUUUUUAUUAUUUAAUUGGGGUGAUUUAAAGAUUUAAAAAACUCUUUAAUAAAAAAGAAUUCAUAUUUAAAUGUUUUUUGAUCCUUUUAAUAUUUAAGAAUAAUAAAAUAAGUUACUUUAGGGAUAACAGCGUAAUUUUUUUGAAGAGUUCAAAUCGAUAAAAAAGAUUGCGACCUCGAUGUUGAAUUAAGAUAAAAAUUAGGGGUAGAAUUUUAAUUUUU